This is a long non-coding RNA of Zalophus californianus (California sea lion), 7750 nucleotides long. RefSeq lists it as uncharacterized. NCBI's taxonomy places the organism in Eukaryota, Metazoa, Chordata, Mammalia, Carnivora, Otariidae. The record is from RefSeq and is a predicted model, not a curated record. The transcript is spliced from 5 exons.
AUUGUUUCUCUAGGGAAUUAGAGGAGAUUAAAAUCGCCUCAAAUUGCCUGGCAGGCCUGUAAAGCCACUUUAUGUAAAAUACCACUGGGGAAAAACAAACAUUACAUUGUUUGCUGGCUUUUGGAUGUUUUCUAUUUAUCUUGCAAGAAUAACGCUAGCAAUGAGAGUGGAUUGUGAUACCCCUCCAAUUUUCAUGACAAAGCCUCAGGAAGAAAGGAAAUUUAUUACAUUCUUAUAUACUUUUGCGGAUAAUGUAGAGGGGUUUUUUGUCAUUAAAAUGGCUUUUAAAUGGCAGCACCAUUAAAUGUUUUUUUUUUUUUUUUUCCUUCUCAGCUGAGUGAAGAGCUCUUCUGUGUUGGACCCUGGCUGCCCCUGGAUAGUUAAUAACAAAAUGAAGCCAAAACACAGCUCUGUGGUCAGAGUCAGGAACCUGUGACUAAAAACUUACUUCCUGCACGCCAGCUGCACGGACCGGUUAUUUAAAUAUACCACAAGCACAACAACUUAAAAUCCUUGUGAAUUCUGUUUCUUUCCUCCUUGUCGUUUAGGAGAGAAACCUUGCAAAUAUAGGUCCAAAGAGAGCAUCACAUCUUCCCUGUGAUGGAGGCCUGGAAGGAGUUCUGGAGAAAUGUUCAUUCCUGGCGUGACUAACGGUGGGAGCGGCCUCGUGGCUUUCCUGAACGUGAACCUUCUCCAAGAUGCUGGGGGACAACACCCUGCAAUUUACGGAACCGGACAGAGCCAAGCUGUCUCCGGGUGGUUCGGGGAAGAGGCAGCAAUCAAGUAAAAUUGCACAUCGGACUUUCUGGGGCCCCUGCCCCCCCUCCCGGGAGACUGCCCAGGACGAACCAUGUCUGCAGAGGAACGCGUGACGAGCCUCUUCCAGGCCACAUGGAAAGAGCACGUGGCCUUCUCUCCUGAGUUGCUGUGCACCAGGCCGCUCUCACCAACAGGUCAGAUGGCGGCUUCCUGGCAACAGAGGAACUGAGUUCCCACCUUGCUUUCCCUCUUCAUUUAUUCAGGACUGUCUUCAUGACCGGUCUCUCAUCAGGCCACAGAGCCUUCAGGAUGGAGGAGCCACAGAACGUCGUGAAGAAAGCAUUCAUUCCAGCACGGGGAGCUUGGCCCCAUCUCCGUUCCUCCGUUUGAAGCAGAGCCACCUAACUAUGGUUGUGUUUGAAGUGAAGUCGUGAUCGGGCCGAUUUUCCACAAACUAUCGCUUCCAUAGAUCAGCCUAUUAUUUCAUAUAUUUUCUUUGCUUCUCCAAUGAUCUGCAGUUAAGGAUCAUGUUUCUUUCAGUCUGUGAUCACAUUUUUAGUGAAAUAAAAUAGACAUUCAAAAUACAAGCCAACUUUCUCAAUUAUUAGAGCCAACAGAUAUUAAAUGACUCUGUUUGCUUUGCUGUGAAAGUUGUAAACCCUUACCGCCAAGUUCUGUCCUCAUGUGGUGCUCGCACCGAGUGUCAUGGUUCUAGAGAAAGGUUUGCCUCUCAGAGGGUGUCUCUGUGUGUUUGCACCUGUGUGUAAUGUUUAGAAUCUUCCACGUACGCUUUUUCAUGAUUAGGAGACUCGGCUCACAUCCUGACAAGUUGGAUGGGAGAACUGACCCAAAUGAGCUGUUUGCACAACACAUAUUUGCCCUGAAACUUCUGUCCAGGCUUUGCUUUAUUUCUAUCAUUAAACCUGAUUUAUCUUUCUUCUUUGUUGUUUUUGAUUACAACAAUUAGUUUUACAUAGCGCUCGGUUUGCUCUCUGGCUUACUAGAGGGGGUGUUCAUGUGUGUAACAAGUGUGGGCUUGGGGGCUUUGGUCCCAGAGCCGGGUCAUGAGCGCUACGCCACUCACCACCGAUGACGUCAUCUCCCUGUUAUCGGACUGCUUUGGAAAAUAUUCGGUAACUCCACGAAGGCCAUGUGGUGCCCAGAGGCAGACUGUGUAUUUUCUGCCCACAAAUGUCCUGCCCGUGCAUGACACUGUGGCGUCCUCCGGAAAGGUGAAUGCCACCUCGCUGUUACCAUGGUUUUAUGUUACCAUACGUCUUCUUUCCUUUCCCUCUUACUCACCAUAUUUGUUCCAACAAAUAUUUUUUGAGUUCUCUCUAGUGUUAGACACAUAGUAAGGAUGGAGCCAGUUAGACUCUUGAAAAACUUAAGCAAAAAAAAAAAAAAAAUAAGGAAGUGAUCGGAAGGCUACUGAGUCGCCUGCAAUGCCGCGAGGAGUCUAGAGAGCGUGGUGUGGGAAGGGGAGCGGAGCAAGGGACCAGGUGUGGCCAAAGUCACAAUGGGGUGUCACCUAAAGCCACCAGUACCAAGGCCCCAGGGGGCUGCUCACUGCCCGACUCCGUCGAGGCCACCAUGUGCUCCGAGUCGCCCCCCUCACCCCGAAAUCAUAUCCAGGCAGAAGCUUCCGAGUGCGAGGCAUAGGUCCUGCACCAGCUGCAAGCAGCUGGGGACCCAGCGUUUCGAGGGGAGGCAGCAGGUGGAUCCAGAGCAGAAGGGCAGGCUACUGGGACCCGCUGGAUGUCUCCUGUCUGGGGGCAUCACACUGGGAGGUUAGGAGGGCCGGGCACACCGGGCUUCCUGUGUGCUGGAGGGAGACGGAGCCUCAUCCUCCACGACACUGACACCCCGGGCUGGAGGGGCUCCGCGGUGGGGCGGGGGAGGGGUUGUCAUGGGCGGUGCAGGGUGUGGAGGGCAUCCCCGGCUUCAGCCCGUAGCACGCCCCAAGUGGCGGGCAUCCCCGAAUCAAACCAUCUGCACCCCCGCUUUUGUGAGGCUAUCCAUUCCCGAGGCCACUGCAGAGUGGCCGAGGCCGGCGCUCUGGCAUAUGGGGUUGGACGGGUCUUCUGAACCAUUCGCCCAGACGCUUCUCACGCACGGUGCGCCCUGGCUGCCUCGGGAGGAUUUGUAAGGGGUGGAGAGUGACUAGCUCUGCCUUUUCAGAGGCACGGCCGGUCCGGUGGAGGUACAGCAAGUGGGAGGCUGGGGCGAAGCCGGGGUGGACAGGCCGAGGGCCAGGAUGCAGGCAGCUGGGCACACGGAGCAGUGACAGAGGUGGGGUCAGGCCUCACAGGCCUGUGACUGGUUGUCACUCCAGGGAAAACGUAUCAGAGCCGGCUCUUAGAUCCGGAGGUUGGCGCAACACGGCUCAAGAUACGGGACGUAGGGAGGCGAAUCUCCGGAGAGGAGACCGGGCAGGUUUGCGGCCCUGUGAUUUCGCGGGCUGCCGGGCCUCUUGUUGGAUAGGAUGUGGAGUUGGGACAGGGGUCAGGGUGCAGAUAGGGACAUGGAGCCAUCGGCAACCCGGGGCAGCUGCGGAAGGAGCGGCUGAGACCCCCCGAGUAAGGCAUAGGACAAGAACCAAAGGGCCACAGAGAGCUUGCAAGACGGAGGCAGUGAGACAGGGAGGAGAGUCGCCAUUGGCUGGGGGCGGAGGGACGGGCCAGCGGGCUCACGGGCUCAUAGGCUCAUGUUCGGCAGGUGAUCAGUGGCCCUCACAGGAGCGGUUUCGGUGGAAAUCAGGUCACAGCGGUGGCAAGGCGAUGGGAACAAAUGCCAUCUUUAGAGAGAAUAAGGUGGUUGACGGUGGCCGGGGCCCUGCAGAGGCAAAUGAGGAUUCCGUCUGCUUCGCAGCUUUCUGAGGUGUCCUUGACAUGCAAUGAGCCGCACAUACAUAAACCCAUGUACGUUGUAAGUUUGGCCUGUGUAUCCACCUGUGAAGCCAUCACCAUAUCCAAAAUAGUGGACGAGCCCAUCCGCCCCCAAAUGUCCUGGUCCCUUUGUAUAUUCCGGCCCCCACCCCCGGCCUUUUCUGCCUCUUCCCUUUCCUCCUCAGCCAGAAGCAACCACUGAUCUGUUAGGCUGGGUCUUCUAGAAGUCUCUGCAGGCGACUCUCCACUAUGCAUAUGCCUUUGGGUCUGUCUUCUUUUCCUCUGCGAGAAUCAGCCUUAUGGCAGGUGCAGCGCGUGUGCAGAACCUACUCUUCUCUGCUGCCGGGCUGCGUCCCAUCGCAUGGCUCCACUACACUCCGUGGACGUCGGGGCUGUUUCCAGCUUUGGGCUCUCGCAAAUGAGGCUGCCGUAUGCACGCCUACACAAGACUGUGUGUGCACGUAUCGCUCGUCUUGGGUAAACCCCUAGGCACGGAAAUGGGGUCCUUGGUAAACGCAUGAUUACCUGUUGGAGAAACGGUGAAACUGGCCUCCCAAGUGCUCACGCUGUUUGACAUCUCACUGUCACCGGAUGGGGCUCUAGCCGCUCCCCGCCCUGCCCACGCUCGCCGUGGUCACGUGCUGAAUUCGCGCUCUUCCUGCAGGUCCGUGGGGGAGCUCACUGCGGUUCUGAUUUUCUCCCCUCUAAUGAUGGAUACCGUGAGCACCAUCUUUAUCCCCAUACCGUCUCUGGCGCACUCUCUGUUCUCGUCUUUGCCCAUUUUUAAGAUUGGUUGUUUCCUAUUAUUCCCAUUCUAGUCUAAAAGGGUCCCUUGAACUCACCGAAAAGGGGCUAAAUAUUUGAUGGAAAAAAACAGAACGGAUUUAGAGCACACUAGGUUUUGCUGUAGGGUGUGGUUUUCUUAAGUUUCUGCGGGGCGCCUGGGUGGCUCCGUCGUUGAGCGUCUGCCUUCGGCUCAGGUCAGGGUCCCGGGGUCCUGGGAUCGAGCCCCGCGUCGGGCUCCCUGCUCGGCGGGAACCCCCUCUCCCGCUCCCCCUGCCUGUGUUCCCGCUCUCGCUGUGUCUCUCUCUGUCAAAGAAAUAAUAAAAUCUUUAAAAGAACCAGCCGAUUUCCUUCGCCUUCACCACUUCUGCCCCUGAGCAUUUCAGUUUACUUCCCUCGGCGACCGGAAGCUCCAGUGCGGAGGCACGGAGGGGAGGAAGCGGGUCUGCCCGGAAGGGCCGCGUUCUCGCCGAGAGCGCCGGCGUCCGCCUCCUCCGUGCGCGGGGCCAGCCCCGUGCCCCCUCGUGGCCUUGUCGCUCGCCCCUGAGCUGUGGCUGCCCCUCCUGAGCCUGCUGCCCACUCCUGAGACGGGGCUCAGGCGCUCACCAAGGGGGCGGGAGCGUCCGUCGGCUCUGGCCGCCCCGCCCCGUCCCCUGGACCGGAGCCGCCCGUAGCCGCUGCGAAGACACGGGUCCCGCCUGCCGGCGCAGCGAACCACUCAGCCCGGGGCGGGCGGCCCGGGGGGCUGCCGGGGGCUUGUGCGUCCCCGGGCUCGGCGGCUGCAGGGGCGCAUGCCCCGAGCCGCGGUUCCCGGAGGCCCCGCCGCGCGGAACGACAAGCGCCCGCAGGGCGCCCGAGGCGGGGGCGCGCAGACCGCCAGAGCCACGCAGCGCGGGGGCCCGCUCCGCGCAGAAGCCCGGGCUUCCGCCGUGAGAGCGACGUCUGCGUUGGCUCGAGCGCCUCGUCUGCCGGCGAGAGUGGAGUUUACAUCAUUUAAAUACUUCCUAUUUUCAUACUUCGGUGCUUUGGAGUCUAGGGGAUCCGCGGCGUGGAUCGGGGCGCGCCCACGGCCACCGCAGAAUUACUCAUCGGGGAAAAACACUCCGCAAAGAAGCGUGAUCACUCCAAAAGAGCGUGAGAUUUAUUCCAAACUUCGAAAACCUUGUUCGGCGCCCUCGGGCAUUUUCCUCCGUCCGCCCUCCCCCGCUGCUCUCCUUCCUCUUCCCUCUUCCCCCCGUUCACCCCCGAGGCCGAGCGCGUCUCCCGGCGGCCGUCCGCCAUCUUUCUCUCCAGCCCCUGCCGGAGGCGGGCUUCGAGGCCCGGGCCGUCCGCGUGGCCGCCUUCCGUGCGGGGCUCACCCCAGCGCCGGGGCUCCGCGCGCGCGUCCGGCCUGGCCUCGCCCUGCCCUGGGAGCGGGGCGCAGCGGGGGAAGGGCCGGGGGCAUCCUCGGAGGCGGACGGCAUCCCACGACACGAAAACAGAGGUUGGGCAGCUGAGCCAGGGCCUGCUGAAUUUGGGGGCAACAAACAAAAUCGCCAACAAUGCCAUCUUUCUUCGGGAGAACAAGGCUCUCCAAUGAGUUCGAGCGGCAGCUGCAUGGCACUGACCUCACUUUUCGGGGGGCGGGGUCUGAAGGAGAGGUGACCCUGCCAGGCCGGCCGCCGGCCGGAAGUCAACGCGGCGCCUGCCGGAAAUGGAGCCAAGGGGCGCCCCCUGCAAGUGUCGUCAGCUUUUAAGGUGGGCACUGGAGAGUGGUGUGGAAAGCCCGCGCCUAAGGACCCUCGGGGGGAAGAGAGAGCAAGCGCUAAGUGCUCCGACGCCAGUGGUGCGCCCCACACGCGCCGCUCGCAUCCCCCUCGCGCUCGUCCCUUCCCUCUCCACUCUCCCUCUUCUGUCACACGCACACACCCCCUCACGUUCUCUCACACACCCUGUCACACACACUCACGCAUACUCACACGCUCUUACACGUCCACACACUCACACUCACACACCCUCACAUUCUCACACACCCUGCCACACACACUUACGCACGCAUACUCACACGCUCUUACACGUCCACACACUCACACACACCCUCACAUUCUCACACACCCUGUCACACAUUUUCUCAUGCACGUAUACUCACUCUUACACACUUUCACACCCACAUGCACACACUCACACUCAUUCACAUAGAUCCCUCACAUUCUCUCACACACAUUCACACCUCACACACACACACCCUGUCACUAAUUCUCACGGUUACACACUCACUUUCACACACAUUCACCCCCACACCCUCAUAUACUCUCAUGCACACUCACACACCCACAAACUCUCACACCCUCACUCUUACACUCACAUGCUCAUGCUCUUCCACACUCACACUCGUUCUCUCACUCUCACACAGAGUCACAUACUCUCACACACACUCACAAACUCUCACACCCUCUCACUACCACACACACACUCUCACACAGACUUUCACACACACACACACACACACACGGCUGCCAUUUCCCUCCCUGAGUUUUGACAGUAGCAGGCUGCCUGGCAGGAACUGGGUCUGCAGUUUGCAAUGUCCUCUGAUGCAAAAGUGACCUUGGUGGCACGGUUUCCUCCUGCUGGGAGCGUUGUGUGCUGUGGACAGUGCCGUGUGCAGGAAGUUAGUUUGCAGAGGUUUCGGAAAGUGGAAUACUGGCAUACAGCCCUGGGCCUCGGAGCUCUGGACUCCGCUGCCACGGAAACCCCCAGGGAGUCUGCAAGUUCGUGGCACUCUCCCAACUCAGAGUCAGAGCCAGACGCCACAGAAGAGAAAGUAGUGAAGUGAGACCUGAAACUCUCUUAGAUUGCAGCUCUUAGGACACAAACACACACACACACACACACGAGUCACACAAUUUCCAACAUUCCCAUGCAUAAUAACCACUAUUGUAAAAAGAUGACUCUACUAUUCCAUGAACUUAGCUCCUAAACCUUAAAAUUUAUAAAUUACAUACUCAAAUUUUUUUCAAAGAUACUAAUUACAGGGAUACAAGGAAGUAUUUAGCAUUCAGUCACAUAGAAAAAUAGCAUAAUACUUAGAAUGGUUUUGAAAAAGUCAUGGGAAUAAGAGCCUAUGGAAUAUAGGGAAUGGUAUUGAGAUAGUGCUCUGUGGCGACAGAGGGUUGUGGUGAGCGGAGCAUAAUGUGUAGAUGUGUCGAAUCACUAUCUGCGCACCUGAAACUAAUGUAAACAUCGUGUGUCAACUACACUCAAAUAAAAAGAAAAUUUAAACUUAAAAAAAAUCAAGUAAAAACUGAGGAUAAAACAAAACAAAACAAAACUAGGGGUGCCUG